RNAcentral lists this ribosomal RNA (207 nucleotides) under Acanthocerus crucifer. Its description in RNAcentral is "partial small subunit ribosomal RNA". It matches the Rfam family "Eukaryotic small subunit ribosomal RNA", at positions 1045 to 1247 of the family's 1831-position model. The record is from RNAcentral. Lineage: Eukaryota; Metazoa; Arthropoda; Insecta; Hemiptera; Coreidae.
GCCAGCGAUCCGCCGACGUUCCUCCGAUGACUCGGCGGGGAGCUUCCCCCGGGAAACCAAAAGCUUUUGGGUUCCGGGGGAAGUAUGGUUGCAAAGCUGAAACUUAAAGGAAUUGACGGAAGGGCACCACCAGGAGUGGAGCCUGCGGCUUAAUUUGACUCAACACGGGAAACCUCACCAGGCCAGGACAUUGGAAGGAUUGACAGA